GAUGAAGAACGCAGCGAAAUGCGAUACGUAAUGUGAAUUGCAGAAUUCAGUGAAUCAUCGAGUCUUUGAACGCACAUUGCGCCCCCCGGUAUUCCGGGGGGCAUGCCUGUCCGAGCGUCAUUGCUACCCUCAAGCACGGCUUGUGUGUUGGGCCUCCGUCCUCCUCCCGGGGGACGGGCCCGAAAGGCAGCGGCGGCACCGCGUCCGGUCCUCGAGCGUAUGGGGCUUCGUCACCCGCUCUUGUAGGCCCGGCCGGCGCUUGCCGACACAUCAAUCUUUUUUCCAGGUUGACCUCGGAUCAGGUAGGGAUACCCGCUGAACUUAAGCAUAUCAAUAAGCGGAGGA
This 345-nucleotide unclassified non-coding RNA is filed under the name soil metagenome. RNAcentral describes it as "partial contains 5.8S ribosomal RNA, internal transcribed spacer 2, and large subunit ribosomal RNA". The stretch from base 1 to 120 matches the Rfam family "5.8S ribosomal RNA", at positions 35 to 154 of the family's 154-position model. The record is from RNAcentral.